Non-coding RNA from Camellia sinensis, 1534 nucleotides. The record is from RefSeq and is a predicted model, not a curated record. Lineage: Eukaryota; Viridiplantae; Streptophyta; Magnoliopsida; Ericales; Theaceae.
AUUUUUUAAAAAAUAUGUUUAAUCAUAUUUUUACAUUUUCUAGACAAAUUUGUUUAGUUGAAAAAGGAUCAAUCACUUUUCUCUACAAUUUUAGUUGGUCUCUAAUAAAUCCAAAUCAUAUUCCUACAAUUUUAAUUGGUCCCUAAUAAACCCAAAUAAUAUAUUAUUGUAUUUUAUAUAUCAAUUUUUGAACUCAUAUAGUCGGGAACAAAAUGAAAAAAAAGGUUUCAUCACUCUCUCCCUCUCUCUCCCUCUUUCUCUCUCUAUCAAAUCCCUAAUUUCUUUUCAUGCAUCUCUUUUCUACGGAUUCGAUAUAUGAAUUCACUGGUUCUUCUCAACGAUCUCGUUGAUUGCUUCUGAUCUGUGGUUCAUCAUUGUCUCAAAGCAUCUCUGUCCAGGGCUGGAUCGCUCCGUUGCCGCCUCAUGUAUCCUUGAUUCUCCGAUUUCCCGGCGUAUCUCCGGUAGCGAUUCCGAUCAGUAUGCAGCUGCUAGAGUAUGGACCAAGUGGGAACUAAUGACUGCCCAUCUUCUUCCAAAUGAAGAUAACAUUAAGAAAGGGGAGGAUGACAAAUUUUCAUUGGCAUUUGCAAGGAUUGAAAACCAUUACUUUGUGAAUAAGGGUUUUUUUGCUUCGGAUUCAUUCCUGUUGGAUAAUGUUGAAAAGAUAAGGCAUAUCAACACUGUAAUUGUAUAGGUAUAUCUAUUCACAUAUUAUAUGGGCAUGCUUUCUACUUACUUAUGCAACAAGUAAUAUAUUUACACAUGCUUUCUAGUUUUUGCUUGCAUGUUUUUGCUAUGAACAGUAACAUAUCAGGUGUCUGUCCUCACACAAUAUCAAAUUGCAUGUCAUAUUUGCUACUGUCAAAUUGUCAUUGCAGCAUUAAGUGUCUCCCCUUAAAGAUUCUCUCUAUUUAAGUUCACUGUCUGAUUUUGAGAGAUAUGAUAUGUGCUGCCCUAUGAUGUCAGCAUGGGAUCUUCAUAAAGCUUGGCCAGAGGCAAAAUUGAAGCUAUACAAAAAAGGGUGUCUCCAGAGUCCUGCUUCCUUAUGUCUAAUGCAUGCAUCCACUUCAUUUGUAUGCAUAUGGGGUGGUCACGAGUUACACUAGGUGGGUGUAUCAUGGGGAAGGUUUUGAGUUGAAUGAUAAUGAUGACUCACAAAAUGAAAAUGACGAAUAUCUUGACAAUGUGACAGAGAAGUCAAAUAGCCCCAAUACCGAGGUCCUGCAAGCUUGCGUCGAUUUAAAGCUUGGGAGCUCUCUGCUAGAUUUUGAAUGCCAUUUUAACGAAACCAUUGAGAAGAAGAUGCAAUGAGUUAAGUUGAGUUGAGUUGUUUUGUUAUGUAGGUAGAUAUAAUUCUAAUAACAAUCUGUUCAUUGAAUAGUUGAAUGCUAUAAACAAUGCUUAUAACACUAGCCUUAUAAAUUGGAAAUGAUACUUUUGAAAUCUCUGUCAUAUAUACAAUCAAGAUAUUACGUACUAAUGAAUUAGAGCAUGGUAUUUGUUUGUUAUUGAAUGCGAUGAGCAUUUUUUUUUU